CAGUAGCCGCGGGAAUACGGAGGGUGCAAGCGUUAAUCGGAAUUACCGGGCGUAAAGCGCACGCAGGCGGUCUGACAAGUCAGAUGUGAAAUCCCCGGGCUUAACCUGGGAACUGCAUUUGAAACUGUCAGGCUGGAGUCUUGUAGAGGGGGGUAGAAUUCCAGGUGUAGCGGUGAAAUGCGUAGAGAUCUGGAGGAAUACCGGUGGCGAAGGCGGCCCCCUGGACAAAGACUGACGCUCAGGUGCGAAAGCGUGGGGAGCAAACAGGAUUAGAUACCCGGGUAGUCCCUGUCUCUUAUAC
This 301-nucleotide ribosomal RNA is filed under the name uncultured bacterium. RNAcentral describes it as "partial 16S ribosomal RNA". It matches the Rfam family "Bacterial small subunit ribosomal RNA", at positions 509 to 807 of the family's 1533-position model. The record is from RNAcentral.